AUUUGGGUGCUUCUCUCUUUUGCCACGUUUCCUCUUUUCCCCACCGGUAAUAUUCCCAGUCCACCGCCUCACCACCAUUAGUUCCUGAUUUCAGUUCCAGCCCUAAUCGACCUUUGCUCUGCCCCAUAUUUCAGUUUCAGCCCUAAUCGCCGUUUUUCUCCGCCGAUUCUCGCCCUAUAUGACCUUUGCACCACCGCUACACCUUCGUUCCACCGGUUCAACUCCAGGUGACGUCACCCUCAAAGCCGCAGGUCCUCACCCUACUACAGAGUACACAAUAUGAAAGAGAGAGAGAGAGAGAAUAUUGUAGAAAGAGAAGGUGGUGCUCUAAGGAGACUAUAUGGUUCUGGGCAUCUAACUGAUCAGCCAGAUUUUUUUAAAGAACUGCAAUGGUUGGCUUGAAAGAGAUCAAGAACAUAUUCGAGACUCAAGAACUAUAAUACUCAGUUUUCCUUGCCAUUCCAAAUGCUGUGAUAAAUGAAGAUGCAUCAGGAGAUGUAGUGGCACUUCAACACCAGAUACGACUUCUCAAGUUUUUAUUUGCUUAGGAGGAACUUGCUAUCCUUAAACGCAGAAUACAUCCAACUCUCUAAUAUUUAGUUCAAAAGAGGAGAAUUUUAGCAAUGCAAGUUCAUACGGAGACGAUGACAAAGUUUUGAAGGGUUUCAUGUAACCAGGUAUUUGCCUUUAUGUUUUGAUGUAAGGACUUUACUUUUGGAUUUGUUACAAGGAACAAUAAUGGAACCUCAACAGCUUCAAUUUUAGGUUGCCUUUAUGUUUUGAUCUGCCUUGCAUUCUUUGUAUUUACUUUAGUAGAUGUAUCUUUCAUAUGGAGAGUGUAAUUAUAAAUCGGCAGUGGUAAUUUUAGGUUGCAUUUGGCAGUUACAAGGAACAAUAAUGGAACCUCAACAGCUUCAGUACGCCUACUUUGUUAACUGCAAAAACGGAGCUAGAGCCAGCUAGAACAAAAGGUGCAAAAACUGGAAUGAUCCUUGCACUAUAAAUGUAGUUUUUGUUUUUGUGUGUAAAUAUAGAAUUGGCUCUUUUGUCUUACCACUCUUCCAUUGUAACUGAUCCUCAUAAUACAAAAUAUUCUGUGCAAGUGAUA
This is a long non-coding RNA of Helianthus annuus (common sunflower), 1108 nucleotides long. RefSeq lists it as uncharacterized. The transcript is spliced from 5 exons. NCBI's taxonomy places the organism in Eukaryota, Viridiplantae, Streptophyta, Magnoliopsida, Asterales, Asteraceae. The record is from RefSeq and is a predicted model, not a curated record.